Molecule: ribosomal RNA, 253 nt
Filed under: uncultured bacterium
Lineage: Bacteria
Description: partial 16S ribosomal RNA
Rfam family: Bacterial small subunit ribosomal RNA
Source: RNAcentral
UACGAAGGGGGCUAGCGUUGCUCGGAAUCACUGGGCGUAAAGGGCGCGUAGGCGGCCUGAUCAGUCGGGGGUGAAAGCCUGUGGCUCAACCACAGAAUGGCCUUCGAUACUGUCGGGCUUGAGACCGGAAGAGGUAAGUGGAACUGCGAGUGUAGAGGUGAAAUUCGUAGAUAUUCGCAAGAACACCAGUGGCGAAGGCGGCUUACUGGUCCGGAUCUGACGCUGAGGAGCGAAAGCCAGGGGAGCAAACGGG